RNAcentral lists this ribosomal RNA (482 nucleotides) under Listeria monocytogenes. RNAcentral's name for it is "partial 23S ribosomal RNA". It matches the Rfam family "Bacterial large subunit ribosomal RNA", at positions 1188 to 1667 of the family's 2925-position model. Lineage: Bacteria; Bacillati; Bacillota; Bacilli; Caryophanales; Listeriaceae. The record is from RNAcentral.
AGUUUACCGAAGCUGUGGAGUGCACCAUCAGGUGCAUUGGUAGGAGAGCGUUCUAAGGGCGUUGAAGGCAGAUCGUGAGGACUGCUGGAGCGCUUAGAAGUGAGAAUGCCGGUAUGAGUAGCGAAAGACAGGUGAGAAUCCUGUCCACCGAAUGACUAAGGUUUCCUGGGGAAGGCUCGUCCGCCCAGGGUUAGUCGGGACCUAAGCCGAGGCCGACAGGCGUAGGCGAUGGACAACAGGUUGAUAUUCCUGUACCCGUUGUUUUUGUUUGAGCAAUGGAGGGACGCAGGAGGCUAAGAAGUGCAGACUGAUGGAUAUGUCUGUUCAAGCAGUAAGUCUUGGUAGGAGUCAAAUGCUUCUACCUAUACGGACAAGCUGUGAUGAGGAGGGAAAUAAUAGUACCGAAGCUUCUGAUGUCACACUGCCAAGAAAAGCUUCUAGUGAGAAAACAACGGCCCGUACCGCAAACCGACACAGGUAGU